UACGUAGGGGGCUAGCGUUGUCCGGAAUCAUUGGGCGUAAAGAGCGUGUAGGCGGUCCGGUAAGUCCGCUGUGAAAGUCGGGGGCUCAACCCUCGAAUGCCGGUGGAUACUGUCGGGCUAGAGUGCGGAAGAGGAGUGUGGAAUUCCUGGUGUAGCGGUGAAAUGCGCAGAUAUCAGGAGGAACACCAAUUGCGAAGGCAGCACUCUGGGACGUGACUGACGCUGAGACGCGAAAGCGUGGGGAGCAAACAGG
Molecule: ribosomal RNA, 253 nt
Filed under: uncultured bacterium
Lineage: Bacteria
Description: partial 16S ribosomal RNA
Rfam family: Bacterial small subunit ribosomal RNA
Source: RNAcentral